Molecule: ribosomal RNA, 424 nt
Filed under: uncultured bacterium
Lineage: Bacteria
Description: bacterial SSU rRNA
Rfam family: Bacterial small subunit ribosomal RNA
Source: RNAcentral
UGAGGAAUAUUGGUCAAUGGGCGGAAGCCUGAACCAGCCAAGUAGCGUGCAGGAAGACGGCCCUACGGGUUGUAAACUGCUUUUAUGCGGGGAUAAAGUGCAAUACGUGUAUUGCUUUGCAGGUACCGCAUGAAUAAGGACCGGCUAAUUCCGUGCCAGCAGCCGCGGUAAUACGGAAGGUCCGGGCGUUAUCCGGAUUUAUUGGGUUUAAAGGGAGCGCAGGCCGCCCCUUAAGCGUGUUGUGAAAUGCCGCGGCUCAACCGUGGCACUGCAGCGCGAACUGGGGGGCUUGAGUGCGCUGGAGGUAGGCGGAAUUCGUGGUGUAGCGGUGAAAUGCUUAGAUAUCACGAAGAACUCCGAUUGCGAAGGCAGCCUACCGUAGCGUUACUGACGCUGAGGCUCGAAGGUGCGGGUAUCGAACAGG